Molecule: long non-coding RNA, 188 nt
Organism: Uloborus diversus
Lineage: Eukaryota; Metazoa; Arthropoda; Arachnida; Araneae; Uloboridae
Exons: 3
Source: RefSeq, a predicted model, not a curated record
UGACGAAGUUAGCUGCACGUUAGAACAGCAGAGAAAAGCUGCCUGUCAAAGAGUGUAUAAGGAUAUAUGGCAGCUGACAUCAAGAAAUAAUGUGCAGUUAGACAGAAAUCCUUCCCUGAGAAGACCGAGCUUGAUGCCGAACUCGUUGUAAAAAACUGGCUGCGGCAAGCCAAAGCCAGAUGUUGUAG